GGGUUGUGAGGUUAAGUGACUAAGCGUACACGGUGGAUGCCUAGGCAGUCAGAGGCGAUGAAGGGCGUGCUAAUCUGCGAAAAGCGUCGGUAAGGUGAUAUGAACCGUUACAACCGGCGAUACCCGAAUGGGGAAACCCAGUGUGUUUCGACACACUAUCAUGUCAUGAAUACAUAGUGGCAUGAGGCGAACCGGGGGAACUGAAACAUCUAAGUACCCCGAGGAAAAGAAAUCAACCGAGAUUCCCCCAGUAGCGGCGAGCGAACGGGGAGGAGCCCAGAACCUGAAUCGGCUUGUGUGUUAGUGGAAGCGUCUGGAAAGUCGCGCAGCAAAGGGUGAUAGCCCCGUACACUAAAAUGCACAGGUCGUGAGUUCGAUGAGUAGGGCGGGACACGUGACAUCCUGUCUGAAUAUGGGGGGACCAUCCUCCAAGGCUAAAUACUCCUGACUGACCGAUAGUGAACCAGUACCGUGAGGGAAAGGCGAAAAGAACCCCGGCGAGGGGAGUGAAAUAGAACCUGAAACCGUGUACGUACAAGCAGUGGGAGCACCUUCGUGGUGUGACUGCGUACCUUUUGUAUAAUGGGUCAGCGACUUAUAUUUUGUAGCAAGGUUAACCGUAUAGGGGAGCCGUAGGGAAACCGAGUCUUAACUGGGCGAAUAGUUGCAAGGUAUAGACCCGAAACCCGGUGAUCUAGCCAUGGGCAGGUUGAAGGUUGGGUAACACUAACUGGAGGACCGAACCGACUAAUGUUGAAAAAUUAGCGGAUGACUUGUGGCUGGGGGUGAAAGGCCAAUCAAACCGGGAGAUAGCUGGUUCUCCCCGAAAGCUAUUUAGGUAGCGCCUCGUGAACUCAUCUUCGGGGGUAGAGCACUGUUUCGGCUAGGGGGCCAUCCCGGCUUACCAAACCGAUGCAAACUCCGAAUACCGAAGAAUGUUAUCACGGGAGACACACGGCGGGUGCUAACGUCCGUCGUGAAGAGGGAAACAACCCAGACCGCCAGCUAAGGUCCCAAAGUCAUGGUUAAGUGGGAAACGAUGUGGGAAGGCACAGACAGCCAGGAUGUUGGCUUAGAAGCAGCCAUCAUUUAAAGAAAGCGUAAUAGCUCACUGGUCGAGUCGGCCUGCGCGGAAGAUGUAACGGGGCUAAACCAUGCACCGAAGCUGCGGCAGCGACGCUUAGGCGUUGUUGGGUAGGGGAGCGUUCUGUAAGCCGUUGAAGGUGGCCUGUGAGGGUUGCUGGAGGUAUCAGAAGUGCGAAUGCUGACAUAAGUAACGAUAAAGCGGGUGAAAAGCCCGCUCGCCGGAAGACCAAGGGUUCCUGUCCAACGUUAAUCGGGGCAGGGUGAGUCGACCCCUAAGGCGAGGCUGAAAAGCGUAGUCGAUGGGAAACAGGUUAAUAUUCCUGUACUUGGUGUUACUGCGAAGGGGGGACGGAGAAGGCUAGGCUAGCCGGGCGACGGUUGUCCCGGUUUAAGCGUGUAGGGGGUGUGACCUGGUAAAUCCGGUUGCAUACUAACCCUGAGGCGUGAUGACGAUGCACUACGGUGCAGAAGUAGUUGAUGCCCUGCUUCCAGGAAAAUCCUCUAAGCUCCAGGUAACAUUNNNNNNNNNNNNNNNNNNNNNNNNNNNNNNNNNNNNNNNNNNNNNNNNNNNNNNNNNNNNNNNNNNNNNNNNNNNNNNNNNNNNNNNNNNNNNNNNNGAAGCCAGUCGAAGAUACCAGCUGGCUGCAACUGUUUAAUAAAAACACAGCACUGUGCAAACACGAAAGUGGACGUAUACGGUGUGACGCCUGCCCGGUGCUGGAAGGUUAAUUGAUGGGGUCAGCCGCAAGGCGAAGCUCUUGAUCGAAGCCCCAGUAAACGGCGGCCGUAACUAUAACGGUCCUAAGGUAGCGAAAUUCCUUGUCGGGUAAGUUCCGACCUGCACGAAUGGCGUAAUGAUGGCCAGGCUGUCUCCACCCGAGACUCAGUGAAAUUGAACUCGCUGUGAAGAUGCAGUGUACCCGCGGCAAGACGGAAAGACCCCGUGAACCUUUACUAUAGCUUGACACUGAACAUUGAGCCUUGAUGUGUAGGAUAGGUGGGAGGCUUUGAAGCGUGGACGCCAGUCUGCGUGGAGCCAUCCUUGAAAUACCACCCUUUAAUGUUUGAUGUUCUAACUCUGCCCCAUAAUCUGGGGUGAGGACAGUGUCUGGUGGGUAGUUUGACUGGGGCGGUCUCCUCCCAAAGAGUAACGGAGGAGCACGAAGGUUAGCUAAUCACGGUCGGACAUCGUGAGGUUAGUGCAAAGGCAUAAGCUAGCUUGACUGCGAGAGUGACGGCUCGAGCAGGUACGAAAGUAGGUCUUAGUGAUCCGGUGGUUCUGAAUGGAAGGGCCAUCGCUCAACGGAUAAAAGGUACUCCGGGGAUAACAGGCUGAUACCGCCCAAGAGUUCAUAUCGACGGCGGUGUUUGGCACCUCGAUGUCGGCUCAUCACAUCCUGGGGCUGAAGUAGGUCCCAAGGGUAUGGCUGUUCGCCAUUUAAAGUGGUACGCGAGCUGGGUUUAGAACGUCGUGAGACAGUUCGGUCCCUAUCUGCCGUGGGCGUUGGAAGAUUGAGAGGGGUUGCUCCUAGUACGAGAGGACCGGAGUGAACGCACCACUGGUGUUCGGGUUGUCAUGCCAAUGGCAUUGCCCGGUAGCUAAGUGCGGAAAAGAUAAGCGCUGAAAGCAUCUAAGCGCGAAACUUGCCUCAAGAUGAGUCUUCCCUGGGCCUUUAAGGCCCCUGAAGGAACGUUUAAGACUAAGACGUUGAUAGGCUGGGUGUGUAAGUGCAGCGAUGCAUUGAGCUAACCAGUACUAAUGAUCCGUGAGGCUUAACCUUACAACACCGAAGGUGUUUUAG
Molecule: ribosomal RNA, 2888 nt
Filed under: Serratia marcescens
Lineage: Bacteria; Pseudomonadati; Pseudomonadota; Gammaproteobacteria; Enterobacterales; Yersiniaceae
Description: 23S ribosomal RNA
Rfam family: Bacterial large subunit ribosomal RNA
Source: RNAcentral